This 809-nucleotide ribosomal RNA is filed under the name uncultured archaeon. RNAcentral's name for it is "bacterial SSU rRNA". It matches the Rfam family "Archaeal small subunit ribosomal RNA", at positions 85 to 879 of the family's 1478-position model. The record is from RNAcentral.
ACUGCUCAGUAACACGUAGUCAACCUGCCCUCGAGUCGAGAAUAAUCUCGGGAAACUGAGGUUAAUGCUCGAUAGAUCAACAUUCCUGGAAUGGGUUUUGGUCCAAACGGUGUAACGGCCUCUCUCUGUUUCCUCUCUACGAUGGGGCUGCGGCCGAUAUCGCUGUGGGUGGGGUAAAGGGCCCCCCCACCACUGUCCGGGGCGGGGUUUUUGAGAAAGGUGCCGGAGAUGGGGACUGUGACAAGGGGGCCGGUGCUCUAGGGGGCACCACGCGCGAAAACUUUUCAAUGUGCGAAAACGCGACAAGGUUAUUCUGAGAGAGUUCUCCUGAGAAAAUCUUUUUUGUCAUCUGUAAAUUCUGGGGAAAAUAGGGAGAGGGCAUCUGGGGUGUCCCCCCCCGCGAAUAUCCCCUCUCCUCGAGUGCUCGGCGUUAUUUGUGCCUCUAACAUCUCCAGACUGCUCUCCAGGGCUCCUGUGAAAUCUCCACGCUCUUACGUUGGGAUGUGCGAAAUAUCCCUGGGCUCUGAGGCGGGAGAGAUGGACAGUACUCUCAGGGUAGAGGUGAAAACUUUUGAUAUCCGGAAAACAACAACUGUCGAAAGCGCUCCACCCCAGAGCGCUCUACAGUGAGAGAUGUGAGCUGUGGGAGAGAACCGGAUAAUAUACCCGGGUAGACCCACCUGUAAACGAUACGAUCUAUGUGACACUACAUCUUCGGGGCAUCUCGAUGUCGCACAGGAACCGUUUAGCUCUCCGCCUGUGGAGUACAGACGCAAGUCUGAGACUUACGAGAAUUGGCGGGCGAGCAC